GGGCGAGUAGAUCAGUGGUAGAUCGCUACAUUGGCAUUGUAGAGGCCGCGGAUUCAAUUUCCGCCUCGUCCA
This 72-nucleotide transfer RNA is filed under the name Methanocorpusculum sp. RNAcentral's name for it is "tRNA-Ala". It matches the Rfam family "tRNA". Rfam says of the family: Transfer RNA (tRNA) molecules are approximately 80 nucleotides in length. Lineage: Archaea; Methanobacteriati; Methanobacteriota; Methanomicrobia; Methanomicrobiales; Methanocorpusculaceae. The record is from RNAcentral.